AUAGCGUUAAGGUGCUUGUCAGACUUGCCAAAGAAGAGGCCUAAAAUAUCAGAUAUAGUCAGUAUGCUUAAUACAAUGGAAAGUACGAAUGAGCACAUUACCAAUGUUGGCACCUCUCCAGCUGUCCCGAUAAGCGCUUACCCAUGGGAGCUACUUGAGUUUGACUCGCUCGAGCUGAAUUUCCCGUUCGAGAUAAACAAGAAGAUAUUGUGCUCACUUCGGCUAACUAAUGUAACUGAUGAUUAUGUUGCCUUCGAUAUCGAAAUGAUGGGCAUACUACGGUAUUGCAUUGAGCCGGAGAAACGUGCUGUGCCACCACGAUCGAAGUGCAAUGUCAUGGUAACACUGCAAUCACAUGAGAGGGUACCACAUGCUAUGGUGUGCAAGGAUGAGUUAUUCAUUUUGCGGUGUGCCGCCGUGAGUGAGGGCCUCACGGCUGAGGAUAUCAUUGAUGACAUGUUAAAUAAGAAGUCGGGUAAACAAGAAGUCGAUAAGGUGACAUUGAAGGUUGUUAUUUUGCCCAUCACCCUCGAC
Molecule: ribosomal RNA, 534 nt
Filed under: Triticum aestivum (bread wheat)
Lineage: Eukaryota; Viridiplantae; Streptophyta; Magnoliopsida; Poales; Poaceae
Description: partial small subunit ribosomal RNA
Source: RNAcentral